Molecule: ribosomal RNA, 460 nt
Filed under: uncultured bacterium
Lineage: Bacteria
Description: partial 16S ribosomal RNA
Rfam family: Bacterial small subunit ribosomal RNA
Source: RNAcentral
CCUACGGGUGGCAGCAGUGAGGAAUAUUGGUCAAUGGGCGUAAUCCUGAACCAGCCAUGUCGCGUGCGGGAUGACGGCUCUAUGAGUCGUAAACCUCUUUUAUACGGGGGUAAAAUGCUCGACGUGUCGCGUUUUGUAAGUACCUUAUGAAUAAGGAUCGGCUAACUCCGUGCCAGCAGCCGCGGUAAUACGGAGGAUCCGAGCGUUAUCCGGAUUUAUUGGGUUUAAAGGGUGCGUAGGUUGUCUUAUAAGUUAGCGGUGAAAUACCGAUGCUCAACAACGGGGCUGCCGUUGAUACUGUGAGACUUGAGAUGGUAUGAGGCAGGCGGAAUGUGUGGUGUAGCGGUGAAAUGCUUAGAUAUUACGCAGAACCCCGAUUGCGAAGGCAGCUUGCCAGGCCAGAUCUGACGCUGAUGCACGAAAGCGUGGGGAUCGAACAGGAUUAGAUACCCGAGUAGUC